This is a long non-coding RNA of Equus asinus (donkey), 1296 nucleotides long. The record is from Ensembl. Lineage: Eukaryota; Metazoa; Chordata; Mammalia; Perissodactyla; Equidae.
GUGGGGUCGCUGCUCAGUGGGAGCAUCCCUUCGGAUGAAGUAAUGCAGGAGCAACACCCCCACCCCAAAAUGUGAGGGCGCGCGCGGCCUAGUGUCUCCUCUGGAAUCUGCACUGGUGGGAGCGCUCGCUCCCGGGCGUGACGCCACUGCUGGCUUCCAGAGUUCCAGAGCAUGAAAGAUGGAGCAGCACCUGCCUGGUCUGCACAAGGCCAGCAGGGCUGCAGGCCGUUCUACGCCCCUGUUUGCUCCAAAAGGCCUCAGUCUGAGGAACCUCAGGCCGUCCACUGCCGACAUGAUAAGCUGGUCAAAGAGCGAUGCCGAGAGGCACGGACAGGGUGAGAGCUGAGAAGUUCAUCCGCGAGGAGGUGGUUUACGUUUUCCUGCAAGGGGUUUCUGCACGCCCUGGCCUCCAGCGACACGGCGGUUGCGAUUAAAACGGCAAAAUAGGCACCCUGACCUCCCCCUCCAAGAGCGUCCAGCAAAGCAGAAAAUUUCCUGACGUAUACAUCCGGGACAAUAUGAAACCGUCCUUUUGAUUAAAUGUUGCUUGCAGUGAGGAGCAGCCACCAGCACUCCCAGAUGUGAAGGCAGAACAUCCUCAGUUUCUCAGCAAGGACACCUGCAUUCCCAGCUUUUAGAUAUACACACACCAUGUGAUUGUGUGUGUGCCAAGAGAAAGAGAACCACAUAUGCACGUCAUCUUUCACCCUUUCACUGUUAAUACCUGUCACAAUUCUACCUGGUUAAUUGUGGUUUGAAAACACACACACACACACACACACUCCCCACCCAGAGCAGAACGCGAGUGGAUCCAGUCUAGUCAGGUUACAUUUGUAAUUCUCCCCUCCUCCCUUUCCAAUUUCUUUGAUGAUUUUUCCCAUAAGUGUAUAAGCUGCUGGGACUUAGUAGAAGUGAGCCGCUCCUCCUAAAUGUGAUUCGGACCAUAUGCUUUCUACAUUCAUUCCCGCUCCAGGCUUUUCUUCUCUGCACUAACUGCUAACACGUUAUAGUCACCUUGAAAUUUCCUCUGCUAUUUUCCAAUUAAAAGCUUAAUAGCCCUGGAAACGGAGUUCAUGUGGUGAAGUUUACCAUAGCCCCUUGUUCUGAAAGGCUUUCUGCUGGGAUCCCAUUAUGUGCUUGAAUAAACCCUUUCUGCAAACAGAAAUGGGACUUGGGGUUGUCAGGUGUUGGGUUACAAUAGACUUUGAGGCAGGGGACAUUUUACCAACAUAAAUACAAACCUGUCCCUAUAGGGAGAUGUUGUCAAAUACUGGGAUAUGGAAAACAUUCCCAUCA